Molecule: ribosomal RNA, 422 nt
Filed under: uncultured bacterium
Lineage: Bacteria
Description: bacterial SSU rRNA
Rfam family: Bacterial small subunit ribosomal RNA
Source: RNAcentral
ACGGGUGAGUAACACGUGGGUAACCUGCCCAUAAGACUGGGAUAACUCCGGGAAACCGGGGCUAAUACCGGAUAACAUUUUGAACUGCAUGGUUCGAAAUUGAAAGGCGGCUUCGGCUGUCACUUAUGGAUGGACCCGCGUCGCAUUAGCUAGUUGGUGAGGUAACGGCUCACCAAGGCAACGAUGCGUAGCCGACCUGAGAGGGUGAUCGGCCACACUGGGACUGAGACACGGCCCAGACUCCUACGGGAGGCAGCAGUAGGGAAUCUUCCGCAAUGGACGAAAGUCUGACGGAGCAACGCCGCGUGAGUGAUGAAGGCUUUCGGGUCGUAAAACUCUGUUGUUAGGGAAGAACAAGUGCUAGUUGAAUAAGCUGGCACCUUGACGGUACCUAACCAGAAAGCCACGGCUAACUACGUGCC